UCACGUGAUUUCGGGGGCGGGCCUGGCCGGGAAAGGGAGGCUGGGCGCUGUAGAGGGGCAAGGCUUGCGUCGCUGCCCAAGGUUGGGGUAGAGACAACUGAGGGCUGCUUAAGGCCAUUCGUGCCCGACCCAGUGAGCAAGCUGGGAAACUGAGGCCCCCGCUCGCUCUCCCAGUAGGACUUGAACCUGCUGACUCUCAGGCUGAAGGGAAGCUUCAGGAGUGGGAAGUUGCCGGGGCUCUGCUGCUGCCGUUGGUGACAGUGAUCUUCAUCAAACCCUCAAGGUCCGGAGGUCUGUGAAGAAUCUCAGCGUUGCUCAUGCUUGCACCAGAGGAGCCAGGGACACGUCAGUCACCAAGGCAGCGCUGGCUGUGUCGUCAUGGCUCUAGGGCCAGUGGAAAAAGACUGACCUAUCCUACCCAGUGACAACCCCAGAGGCCCUGCACAGAAGCCAGGCUGCAGCGCUCCAGGCCUCUCCAAGGACACUGGGGAGCCAUGAAAUGACAUAGAGCAGGGUAGGGGACGAGACCUGCACCUGUCAGGGGCUGCUCUGUAAACAGCCGCAUCUCCCAGGCACCGCUCAUUCCCUGCCUGGCCCUGCAGGGUGGGCAGCACAUGGAACCUGACGGACCAGGGCAUCUGCAGGGCUCAUGAGACCACCCCAAAGAUAAACGUGGAAGUAUGGGUUCCCAGCCUGCAGGCCUCCAUCACCUCACUGCACAGUGCGUGCACAGUCCCUGCUCCCGGGGAGGGGGCGGGGAAGGCAUAAGUGCCAUCUGCUGACAGCCUGGCUGGGGUUGGGUCCUUGGUGCCAAUGACACCCCUGCGCCUUUGAGGCACUGCAGCGCCUUUGGUGUCUGCCUGUCCCCACGUGCUGGAGAAGGGCAUCCAUGCGGGUGCCACGGCAGAGAGGAAGCCAGAGAGGAACAUGACCCUCUGGUGGCAGCCACUGUAGUCCUGAGGUGGGCCUGUGGGACCCACACUCCUGGGCCUGCUGGUGGCGUAGAGCACACGCACGGCUCUGGGCUAGGAGGCCCCUGAGAGAACAGGAGGCAGGAAAGGCGUGAGAAAUGGAUCUGGCUCCAACCGCAAGUCACUGUUGCCACCAUCCCAUGCCUUGGACCUGCAGCAGAGCCACCUCCCGCGCCCCGAAGCUGCUCCAGGUGAGCGAGGGAGGAAGGCAGGCGAGGACAGGCAGUUGUUGAGUUUAAGUUAAACACCCAUAUGAAUUUAUUAAAUCCAGACUGUGUUAAAGGGUGGCGGUCUGGGACGAGGGGCCAGGGGAUGAAGGACAAGAUGAUGGAUGACCGCAGGCAUCCCACCUCAGGCCCUGGCCCCUCCCCUGCCCGGCCCCUCCCAGCGCCAUCAGCGUCACCAUGAUUCCCAGUGGUGCUGGGGGGGCAGGGCGAGAUGACCGGAAACACACAGGGACGGACGGACAGACGGCGCCUCCACGAACAGUGAGCCUGGCCUGCCUCGGCCCCC
This is a long non-coding RNA of Chinchilla lanigera (long-tailed chinchilla), 1484 nucleotides long. RefSeq lists it as uncharacterized. Lineage: Eukaryota; Metazoa; Chordata; Mammalia; Rodentia; Chinchillidae. The transcript is spliced from 3 exons. The record is from RefSeq and is a predicted model, not a curated record.